AGGGUUUGAUUCUGGCUCAGAACGAACGCUGGCGGCAUGCCUCAUACAUACAAGUCGAACGAGGUCUUCGGACCUAGUGGCGCACGGGUGAGUAACAUGUGGGAAUCUACCUGAAGGUUCGGAAUAACUGCGGGAAACUGUAGCUAAUACCGGAUGUGUCUGCAAAGAGAAAGAUUUAUCGCCUUCAGAUGAGCCCGCACUAGAUUAGCUAGUUGGUGAGGUAACUGCUCCACCAAGGCUACGAUCUAUAGCUGAUUUGAGAGGAUGAUCAGCCACACUGGGACUGAGACACGGCCCAGACUCCUACGGGAGGCAGCAGUAGGGAAUAUUGGACAAUGGGGGAAACCCUGAUCCAGCAAUGCCGCGUGAGUGAAGAAGGCCUUCGGGUUGUAAAGCUCUUUCAUCAAUGAUGAUAAUGACAUUAGUUGAAGAAGAAGCCCCGGCUAACUUCGUGCCAGCAGCCGCGGUAAUUC
Molecule: ribosomal RNA, 473 nt
Filed under: uncultured bacterium
Lineage: Bacteria
Description: bacterial SSU rRNA
Rfam family: Bacterial small subunit ribosomal RNA
Source: RNAcentral